UAAUUGUGGGAAAUAUGGACAUUUGA
Molecule: non-coding RNA, 26 nt
Filed under: Mus musculus (house mouse)
Lineage: Eukaryota; Metazoa; Chordata; Mammalia; Rodentia; Muridae
Source: RNAcentral